AUUGAACGCUGGCGGCAGGCCUAACACAUGCAAGUCGAGCGGAUGAAGGGAGCUUGCUCCUGGAUUCAGCGGCGGACGGGUGAGUAAUGCCUAGGAAUCUGCCUGGUAGUGGGGGAUAACGUCCGGAAACGGGCGCUAAUACCGCAUACGUCCUGAGGGAGAAAGUGGGGGAUCUUCGGACCUCCCGCUAUCAGAUGAGCCUAGGUCGGAUUAGCUAGUUGGUGGGGUAAAGGCCUACCAAGGCGCCGAUCCGUAACUGGUCUGAGAGGAUGAUCAGUCACACUGAAACUGAGACACGGUCCAGACUCCUACGGGAGGCAGCAGUGGGGAAUAUUGGACAAUGGGCGAAAGCCUGAUCCAGCCAUGCCGCGUGUGUGAAGAAGGUCUUCGUAUUGUAAAGCACUUUAAGUUGGGAGGAAGGGCAGUAAGUUAAUACCUUGCUGUUUUGACGUUACCAACAGAAUAAGCACCGGCUAACUUCGUG
This 484-nucleotide ribosomal RNA is filed under the name uncultured bacterium. RNAcentral describes it as "partial 16S ribosomal RNA". It matches the Rfam family "Bacterial small subunit ribosomal RNA", at positions 30 to 507 of the family's 1533-position model. The record is from RNAcentral.